AACAAAGAAUGCUCUCCCAGUCUAUCAAGAAGAAAAUGUGGAAGUUUUCUCACUGACUUAUCUCCAUGUCCCUUAAACACAAAAUUUGUCCUUUUUGCGGUAUGGAAGGCAUGNNNNAGGCAUGAUCAUAGCCUCAAGAAUCACUAACAAGGCUGUUAAACAACAAAACUUCCCUCUUCAAAAGCUCUCCUUCUGGUUCGCUCCCCCCACUCGUCCUCCAGGCCUACGUUAUUCCGCUUUCCGCUCAUAAAACUAACAAGCUAGCACAUAUAUACAUAUCCGGC
Molecule: unclassified non-coding RNA, 284 nt
Filed under: Hevea brasiliensis (rubber tree)
Lineage: Eukaryota; Viridiplantae; Streptophyta; Magnoliopsida; Malpighiales; Euphorbiaceae
Source: RNAcentral